AACGUAGGAGGCAAGCGUUAUCCGGAUUUACUGGGCGUAAAGCGUGCGCAGGCGGUCUAUUAAGACAGGUGUGAAAUCCCCGGGCUUAACCUGGGAACUGCGCUUGUAACUGAUAGGCUUGAGUGUGGCAGAGGGGGGUGGAAUUCCAGGUGUAGCAGUGAAAUGCGUAGAUAUCUGGAGGAACACCGAUGGCGAAGGCAGCCCCCUGGGCUAACACUGACGCUCAUGCACGAAAGCGUGGGGAGCAAACAGG
This 253-nucleotide ribosomal RNA is filed under the name uncultured bacterium. RNAcentral's name for it is "partial 16S ribosomal RNA". It matches the Rfam family "Bacterial small subunit ribosomal RNA", at positions 524 to 776 of the family's 1533-position model. The record is from RNAcentral.